GAUUCUGGCUCAGGAUGAACGCUAGCUACAGGCUUAACACAUGCAAGGUCAGGGGCAGCAUGAUCGAAGCUUGCUUUGAUUGAUGGCGACCGGCGCACGGGUGAGUAACGCGUAUCCAACCUUCCCUAUAGUAGAGGAUAGCCCGGCGAAAGUCGGAUUAAUACUCUAUGUUUUCCAGUGCAGACAUCUAAAAUGGAACAAAGGUUUACCGCUAUAGGAUGGGGAUGCGUCUGAUUAGGUUGUUGGCGGGGUAACGGCCCACCAAGCCUACGAUCAGUAGGGGUUCUGAGAGGAAGGUCCCCCACAUUGGAACUGAGACACGGUCCAAACUCCUACGGGAGGCAGCAGUGAGGAAUAUUGGUCAAUGGGCGAGAGCCUGAACCAGCCAAGUAGCCGUGCAGGAUGACGGCCCUAUGGGUUGUAAACUGCUUUUAUAUAGGGAUAAAGUGACCCACGUGUGGGUUUUUGUAGGUACUAUAUGAAUAAGGACCGGCUAAUUCCGUGCCAGCCGCCGC
RNAcentral lists this ribosomal RNA (515 nucleotides) under uncultured bacterium. Its description in RNAcentral is "bacterial SSU rRNA". It matches the Rfam family "Bacterial small subunit ribosomal RNA", at positions 15 to 518 of the family's 1533-position model. The record is from RNAcentral.